CCUACGGGAGGCAGCAGUGAGGAAUAUUGGACAAUGGGCGCAAGCCUGAUCCAGCCAUGCCGCGUGCAGGAUGACGGUCCUAUGGAUUGUAAACUGCUUUUAUACAGGAAGAAACACCCCGACGUGUCGGGACUUGACGGUACUGUAAGAAUAAGGAUCGGCUAACUCCGUGCCAGCAGCCGCGGUAAUACGGAGGAUCCAAGCGUUAUCCGGAAUCAUUGGGUUUAAAGGGUCCGUAGGCGGUUAGAUAAGUCAGUGGUGAAAGCCCAUCGCUCAACGGUGGAACGGCCAUUGAUACUGUUUAACUUGAAUUAUUAGGAAGUAACUAGAAUAUGUAGUGUAGCGGUGAAAUGCUUAGAGAUUACAUGGAAUACCAAUUGCGAAGGCAGGUUACUACUAAUGGAUUGACGCUGAUGGACGAAAGCGUGGGUAGCGAACAGGAUUAGAUACCCUGGUAGUCCACGCCGUAAACGAUGGAUACUAGCUGUUGGAAGCAAUUUCAGUGGCUAAGCGAAAGUGAUAAGUAUCCCACCUGGGGAGUACGUUCGCAAGAAUGAAACUCAAAGGAAUUGACGG
RNAcentral lists this ribosomal RNA (576 nucleotides) under uncultured bacterium. RNAcentral's name for it is "bacterial SSU rRNA". It matches the Rfam family "Bacterial small subunit ribosomal RNA", at positions 338 to 916 of the family's 1533-position model. The record is from RNAcentral.